This 535-nucleotide ribosomal RNA is filed under the name Bifidobacterium longum subsp. infantis. Its description in RNAcentral is "bacterial SSU rRNA". It matches the Rfam family "Bacterial small subunit ribosomal RNA", at positions 161 to 710 of the family's 1533-position model. Lineage: Bacteria; Bacillati; Actinomycetota; Actinomycetes; Bifidobacteriales; Bifidobacteriaceae. The record is from RNAcentral.
UGGUAAUGCCGGAUGUUCCAGUUGAUCGCAUGGUCUUCUGGGAAAGCUUUCGCGGUAUGGGAUGGGGUCGCGUCCUAUCAGCUUGACGGCGGGGUAACGGCCCACCGUGGCUUCGACGGGUAGCCGGCCUGAGAGGGCGACCGGCCACAUUGGGACUGAGAUACGGCCCAGACUCCUACGGGAGGCAGCAGUGGGGAAUAUUGCACAAUGGGCGCAAGCCUGAUGCAGCGACGCCGCGUGAGGGAUGGAGGCCUUCGGGUUGUAAACCUCUUUUAUCGGGGAGCAAGCGUGAGUGAGUUUACCCGUUGAAUAAGCACCGGCUAACUACGUGCCAGCAGCCGCGGUAAUACGUAGGGUGCAAGCGUUAUCCGGAAUUAUUGGGCGUAAAGGGCUCGUAGGCGGUUCGUCGCGUCCGGUGUGAAAGUCCAUCGCUUAACGGUGGAUCCGCGCCGGGUACGGGCGGGCUUGAGUGCGGUAGGGGAGACUGGAAUUCCCGGUGUAACGGUGGAAUGUGUAGAUAUCGGAAAAGAACACC